This 1241-nucleotide ribosomal RNA is filed under the name metagenome. RNAcentral's name for it is "bacterial LSU rRNA". It matches the Rfam family "Bacterial large subunit ribosomal RNA", at positions 1564 to 2815 of the family's 2925-position model. The record is from RNAcentral.
UGAUGACGAGACGCUAAGGCGUUGAAGCAGUGUAUGUCAGACUUCCAAGAAAAGCUCGCAAUGUCAUAAAUAAAAAUGCCUGUACCAUAACCGACACAGGUGGGUAGGUAGAGUAUACUAAGGGGCGCGAGAUAACUCUCUCUAAGGAACUCGGCAAAAUGACUCCGUAACUUCGGGAGAAGGAGUGCCUUAUUUAUAAGGUUGCAAUAACAAGAUCCAAGCAACUGUUUAUCAAAAACACAGGUCUCCGCUAAGUCGUAAGACGAUGUAUGGGGGCUGACGCCUGCCCAGUGCCAGAAGGUUAAAGAAGUUGGUUAGUGUAUGCGAAGCUGAUGACUGAAGCCCUGGUGAACGGCGGCCGUAACAAUAACGGUCCUAAGGUAGCGAAAUUCCUUGUCGGGUAAGUUCCGACCCGCACGAAAGGCGUAAUGAUUUGGAUACUGUCUCGGAGAGAGGCUCGGUGAAAUAGACUUGUCUGUGAAGAUGCGGACUACCUGCACCAGGACAGAAAGACCCUAUGAAGCUUUACCGUAACUUGAAAUUGGAAUUGGACUUUGCUUGCGCAGUAUAGGUGGGAAGCGUUGAAGAUAUUCUUGCGGGAGUAUUGGAGCUAUCAGUGAGAUACCACUCUUGUAAUGUUAGAUUUCUAACUUUGAACCAUAAUCUGGUCAAAGAACAGUUUCAGGUGGGCAGUUUGACUGGGGCGGUCGCCUCCCAAAUGGUAACGGAGGCGUACAAAGGUUUCCUCUGAACGGAUAGAAAUCGUAUCUAGAGUGUAAAGGCAUAAGGAAGCUUGACUGUGAGACCUACAAGUCGAGCAGGGACGAAAGUCGGUCUUAGUGAUCUGACGGUACUGAGUGGAAAGGCCGUCACUCAACGGAUAAAAGUUACUCUAAGGAUAACAGGCUGAUCUCCCCCAAGAGUUCACAUCGACGGGGAGGUUUGGCACCUCGGUGUCGGCUCAUCGCAUCCUGGGGCGGUAGUACGUCCCAAGGGUUGGGCUGUUCGCCCAUGAAAGCGGUACGCGAGCUGGGUUCAGAACGUCGUGAGACAGUUCGGUCCAUAUCCGGUGUAGGCGCUAGAAUAUUGAGAGGAGCCUUCUUUAGUACGAGAGGACCGAGAAGGACACACCGCUGGUGUACCAGUUAUCGUGCCAACGGUAAACGCUGGGUAGCUAUGUGUGGAGUGGAUAACCGCUGAAAGCAUCUAAGUGGGAAGCCCACCUCAAGAUGAGUAUUCUC